This 240-nucleotide ribosomal RNA is filed under the name uncultured bacterium. RNAcentral describes it as "partial 16S ribosomal RNA". It matches the Rfam family "Bacterial small subunit ribosomal RNA", at positions 96 to 334 of the family's 1533-position model. The record is from RNAcentral.
UGGCGAACGGGUGAGUAACGCGUGAGGAACCUGCCUCAAAGAGGGGGACAACAGUUGGAAACGACUGUUAAUACCGCAUAAGCCCACGGCUCGGCAUCGAGCAGAGGGAAAAGGAACAAUCCGCUUUGAGAUGGCCUCGCGUCCGAUUAGCUAGUUGGUGAGGUAACGGCCCACCAAGGCGACGAUCGGUAGCCGGACUGAGAGGUUGAACGGCCACAUUGGGACUGAGACACGGCCCAG